AGUUAUGUAGUUUAAUGUAAAACAUCAUUUUUGUAAAUUGAUAAUUAACUUAAAGUUACAUAUCUA
Molecule: transfer RNA, 66 nt
Filed under: Tetragonula pagdeni
Lineage: Eukaryota; Metazoa; Arthropoda; Insecta; Hymenoptera; Apidae
Also listed under: 1 other name
Description: tRNA-Thr
Rfam family: tRNA
About the family: Transfer RNA (tRNA) molecules are approximately 80 nucleotides in length. Their secondary structure includes four short double-helical elements and three loops (D, anti-codon, and T loops).
Source: RNAcentral